CCUGCGGAGGAGGCUAGUUUCCCCAUAUACAGAGGUGACUAAUUCCAUAGCCCCAGCGAAUCAAUGCUCUGUGGAACGUUUUGUUACUAAAAUUUGGCGAAAAUCAACCACAUUUGACCAAAAGCACAAUAUUUUACCAAACUCUGAAUAAAAUGCGCAAUGAGUCGCAUUGCAUUGCGGGAAGGUCCCCAACAUGCUCGGAAUGUGGUGAUGCUUUGCGUGUGCUUUGUGGUGCUCUGAAUUGUUGUUAGUGCCUUGGGCUGUUGGGCAAUUGUAGUCAUUUCAAUCUAUUGCAAUCCGACGUUUUGGGAACGGUUUUAACAUAUUUUUUUACAAUAUCUAUGCACAAGAAUCUGGACAAAGUACGAAAUAAACGAGUGGUAACGAAAACGCGAAGAGAAAGUUUGCCGAACGGUCCAACGACGAAAACAGUCGCCACCAAUAACCACAAUGUUCAGACAUUUGACGCUUUGCUGACAAAGUUUAUAUGGUAAGAAGUUCUUUAGUGCUUUGAUUUGUA
Molecule: non-coding RNA, 520 nt
Organism: Paramuricea clavata
Lineage: Eukaryota; Metazoa; Cnidaria; Anthozoa; Malacalcyonacea; Plexauridae
Source: the annotation of a GenBank genome assembly